Molecule: ribosomal RNA, 509 nt
Filed under: Grigorovia transvaalensis
Lineage: Eukaryota; Fungi; Ascomycota; Saccharomycetes; Saccharomycetales; Saccharomycetaceae
Description: Kazachstania transvaalensis partial small subunit ribosomal RNA
Source: RNAcentral
UGUAUAAAAAUAAAAUUAGGAUAUAGUUAAAAUAAUGAUAUUAGCUAAUGUUAAUAAACAUUUUAUUAAUAAAAUUUAUAAUAAUAUAUAAAUGAUUUAAUAAAUAUUAUAGUCUUGACCAAUUAUUGUGCCAGCAGUCGCGGUUAUACAAUAAAGGCUAAUGUUAACCAUUAUAGGCUUAAAAAAUUAGUAGAACGAUUAUAAUAAUAAUUAUAAUUAGAGUUUAUUAUAUAUUAAUCAAUAGAAUUGUUUAAGUAAUGAUGAUAUAUUAUUAUAUAAAUAAGACUUAUAUUAAUUAAAAUAAUGAUUAAUAAUAAACUGACGUUGAGAUAAUGAAAACUAAAGUAGCGAAACAGAUUCGAUACCUGUGUAGUUUUAGUCGAAAACAAUGAAUACAAUUUAAUAUUAUCAUUCAAUAUUAAAUAGAUGAAAAUUAUAGUAUUUUGCCUGAGGAGUAUAUUNAAUUAAUGAAAAUCAAGACACUAGACAGUUUGAGACUUCAGUAGUGG